CUACGGGUGGCACCAGUGGGGAAUAUUGCACAAUGGAGGAAACUCUGAUGCGGCAACGCCGCGUGGAGGAUGACACUUUUCGGAGCGUAAACUCCUUUUAUAUAGGAAGAAGAUGACGGUACUAUAUGAAUAAGCGCCGGCUAACUCCGUGCCAGCGGCCGCGGUAAUACGGAGGGCGCAAGCGUUACUCGGAAUCACUGGGCGUAAAGAGCGUGUAGGCGGAUUAAAAAGUCAGAAGUGAAAUCCUAUAGCUUAACUAUAGAACUGCUUCUGAAACUCUUAAUCUAGAAUAUGGGAGAGGUAGAUGGAAUUUCUGGUGUAGGGGUAAGAUCCGUAGAGAUCAGAAGGAAUACCGAUUGCGAAGGCGAUCUACUAGAACAUUAUUGACGCUGAGACGCGAAAGCGUGGGGAGCAAACAGGAUUAGAUACCCUAGUAGUC
Molecule: ribosomal RNA, 439 nt
Filed under: uncultured bacterium
Lineage: Bacteria
Description: partial 16S ribosomal RNA
Rfam family: Bacterial small subunit ribosomal RNA
Source: RNAcentral